RNAcentral lists this ribosomal RNA (253 nucleotides) under uncultured bacterium. Its description in RNAcentral is "partial 16S ribosomal RNA". It matches the Rfam family "Bacterial small subunit ribosomal RNA", at positions 524 to 776 of the family's 1533-position model. The record is from RNAcentral.
UACGUAGGGGGCAAGCGUUGUCCGGAUUUAUUGGGCGUAAAGAGCGUGUAGGCGGCCUGGUAGGUCAGCUGUGAAAACUCGAGGCUCAACCUCGAGACGCCGGUUGAAACCAUCAGGCUAGAGUCCGGAAGAGGAGAGUGGAAUUCCUGGUGUAGCGGUGAAAUGCGCAGAUAUCAGGAAGAACACCAAUGGCGAAGGCAGCUCUCUGGGACGGUACUGACGCUGAGACGCGAAAGCGUGGGGAGCGAACAGG